AGUUUGUGGAUUUUGUUACAGC
This 22-nucleotide small nuclear RNA is filed under the name Arabidopsis thaliana (thale cress). RNAcentral describes it as "snRNA_10160". Lineage: Eukaryota; Viridiplantae; Streptophyta; Magnoliopsida; Brassicales; Brassicaceae. The record is from RNAcentral.